Molecule: ribosomal RNA, 2633 nt
Filed under: uncultured Chytridiomycota
Lineage: Eukaryota; Fungi; Chytridiomycota
Description: eukaryotic LSU rRNA
Rfam family: Eukaryotic small subunit ribosomal RNA (bases 1-1765)
Source: RNAcentral
AAAGAUUAAGCCAUGCAUGUCUAAGUAUAAACAAAUCUAUACUGUGAAACUGCGAAUGGCUCAUUAAAUCAGUUAUAGUUUAUUUGAUGGUUCCUUACUACUUGGAUAACCGUGGUAAUUCUAGAGCUAAUACAUGCACAACAGCCCUGACUUCUGGAAAGGGUGUAUUUAUUAGAUACAAAACCAAUGCGGGCAACCGCUUUUUUGGUGAAUCAUUUUAACUUUGCGAAUCGCAUGGCCUUGUGCCGGCGAUGCUUCAUUCAAAUAUCUGCCCUAUCAACUCAAGUUGGUACAGUAGUGGUCUACCAUGGCUAUGACGGGUAACGGGGAAUUAGGGUUCGGUUCCGGAGAGGGAGCCUGAGAAACGGCUACCACAUCCAAGGAAGGCAGCAGGCGCGCAAAUUACCCAAUCCUGACACAGGGAGGUAGUGACAAUAAAUAACGACACAGGGCUCUUAUGAGUCUUGUGAUUGGAAUGGGAACAAGUUAAAUCUCUUAUCGAGUAUCAAUUGGAGGGCAAGUCUGGUGCCAGCAGCCGCGGUAAUUCCAGCUCCAAUAGCGUAUAUUAAAGUUGUUGCAGUUAAAAAGCUCGUAGUUGGAUUUUGGAUUCGUUUGACUGGUCCGGGAAACUUGGUACUGGUUGAGCGAAUCUUUCCUCUUGGGAAACUGGUGUUGUCAUUUAUGGCAGCAUCAGGGCUCCAAGACUUUUACUGUGAAAAAAUUAGAGUGUUUAAAGCAGGCAUGUGCUUGAAUACAUUAGCAUGGAAUAAUGGUAUAGGAUUUUGGUUCUAUUUUUGUUGGUUUCUAGGACCGAAGUAAUGAUUAAUAGGGAUAGUUGGGGGCGUCAGUAUUUUCCAGUCAGAGGUGAAAUUCUUGGAUUUAGGAAAGACUAACUUCUGCGAAAGCAUUCGCCAAGGAUGUUUUCAUUAAUCAAGAACGAAAGUUAGGGGAUCGAAGACGAUCAGAUACCGUCGUAGUCUUAACCAUAAACUAUGCCGACUAGGGAUCGGCGGAUGUUAUUUUUUGACACCGUCGGCACCUUAUGAGAAAUCAAAGUUUUUGGGUUCUGGGGGGAGUAUGGUCGCAAGGCUGAAACUUAAAGGAAUUGACGGAGGGGCACCACCAGAAGUGGAGCCUGCGGCUUAAUUUGACUCAACACGGGGAAACUCACCAGGUCCAGACAUAGUAAGGAUUGACAGAUUGAGAGCUCUUUCUUGAUUCUAUGGGUGGUGGUGCAUGGCCGCUCUUAGUUGGUGGAGUGAUUUGUCUGGUUAAUUCCGUUAACGAACGAGACCUUAACCUGCUAAAUAGUCACAUGAACACUUGUUCAUGGUCGUACUUCUUAGAGGGACUGUUGGUGUUUAACCAAUGGAAGUUUGAGGCAAUAACAGGUCUGUGAUGCCCUUAGAUGUUCUGGGCCGCACGCGCGCUACACUGACGAAGUCAGCGAGUUUAUAACCUUGAUCGGAAGGUCUGGGUAAUCUUGUGAAUCUUCGUCGUGCUGGGGAUUGACCAUUGCAAUUAUUGGUCAUGAAUGAGGAAUUUCUAGUAGGUGCACUUCAUCAGAGUGCGCCGAUUACGUCCCUGCCCUUUGUACACACCGCCCGUCGCUGUUUCCGAUUGAAUGGCUUAGUGAGGCCUUCGGAUUGAUGCUUCGCUUUUGGCAACAUUAGUGAGGCGCUGAGAAGUUGGUCAAACUUGGUCAUUUAGAGGAAGCAAAAGUCGUAACAAGGUUUCCGUAGGUGAACCUGCGGAAGGAUCAUUAACAAAUUUGCAGUUUCCUUUUGUUUUCUCCAAUGUGAGUUUACUAAGAAAACUAGCAAACUAAACUUGAGCUUCAAUUGAUUUGCCAAGGUUUCUUUUUCCCUGAAAAGAAAAUCGAACUUUGUCAAAUCAUUGGAGUGCAACCCAUUGUGAACUGUUUGACCGACUUCCCUGGAGUUGCUAUGUUUUUUGUUUGAAAUUCGUUUGGAUUUCAUCAAAACCAUACGCCAGGGGGUUUUCAUCAAUACGUAACUCUGUUUAACCUGUUUUGAUAUAUAUGUAAUUAAUUUUUUUGGAAAACAUAAUGAGAAAACAACUUUUAACAAUGGAUCUCUUGGCUCUCGCAACGAUGAAGAACGCAGCGAAAUGCGAUACGUAAUGUGAAUUGCAGAAUUCCGUGAAUCAUCAAAUCUUUGAACGCAAAUUGCGCUUCUCUCCGGAGGAGCACGUCUGUUUGAGCAUCAUUAAGCAACCACUCACAGUGUUAUUCUUUUUUUCUUUCAUUGGAAUAAAGAGUAACGAUUGUGGAAUCUGAGACUUCUUUUCCUCCAAGUUAAGGGUCUUGAAAUUCAUUGAACUAUCGAAGCUGAUGUUUCUUUGGAUUUUGAAACAAAGGAAAGCUAUCGAUGGAAAGCGUAGUAGGUACACUUUGUGCGCCCUAUCGCCUGUACAUCGUUUCCUUUUAUUUUCAAUUUGCAAAUUCGGCCGAGAUAUGGGUUCCCUCUUUUCUUUUUUUUUUCUCAUUCUCAAUUUUAUUAUUUGAAUUCUGAGGGGAAGAAAAAGAAAAACUAAACAUUGUAUUAUCAAACAGUAUGUUUGAACAAUGCAAAUUUGAUCUCAAAUCAGGUGAGACUACCCGCUGGACUUAA